AAUAGAUACCCCGGUAGUCCACGCCGUAAACGAUGAGUGCUAAGUGUUAGAGGGUUUCCGCCCUUUAGUGCUGCAGCUAACGCAUUAAGCACUCCGCCUGGGGAGUACGGUCGCAAGACUGAAACUCAAAGGAAUUGACGGGGGCCCGCACAAGCGGUGGAGCAUGUGGUUUAAUUCGAAGCAACGCGAAGAACCUUACCAGGUCUUGACAUCCUCUGACAACUCUAGAGAUAGAGCGUUCCCCUUCGGGGGACAGAGUGACAGGUGGUGCAUGGUUGUCGUCAGCUCGUGUCGUGAGAUGUUGGGUUAAGUCCCGCAACGAGCGCAACCCUUGAUCUUAGUUGCCAGCAUUCAGUUGGGCACUCUAAGGUGACUGCCGGUGACAAACCGGGAGGAAGGUGGGGAUGACGUCAAAUCAUCAUGCCCCUUAUGACCUGGGCUACACACGUGCUACAAUGGAUGGUACAAAGGGCUGCAAGACCGCGAGGUCAAGCCAAUCCCAUAAAACCAUUCUCAGUUCGGAUUGUAGG
RNAcentral lists this ribosomal RNA (530 nucleotides) under uncultured bacterium. RNAcentral describes it as "bacterial SSU rRNA". It matches the Rfam family "Bacterial small subunit ribosomal RNA", at positions 777 to 1304 of the family's 1533-position model. The record is from RNAcentral.